Molecule: ribosomal RNA, 407 nt
Filed under: uncultured bacterium
Lineage: Bacteria
Description: partial 16S ribosomal RNA
Rfam family: Bacterial small subunit ribosomal RNA
Source: RNAcentral
AUUGAACGCUGGCGGCAGGCCUAACACAUGCAAGUCGCGCGGAGCGGCGGACGGGUGAGUAAUGCCUAGGAAUCUGCAUGGUAGUGGGGGAUGCCGUCCGGAAACGGGCGCUAAUACCGCAUACUAUCCAAUGAGCCUAGGUCGGAUAAGCUCGUUGGUGGGGUAAAGGCCUACCAAGGCGACGAUCCGUAACUGGUCUGAGAGGAUGCUCAUUCACACUGCAACUGAGACACGGUCCAGACCCCGACGUGAGUCAGCAGUGGGGAAUAUUGGACAAUGGGCGAAAGCCUGAUCCAGCCAUGCCGCGUGUAUGAAGAAGGCCUUCGGGUUGUAAAGUACUUUCAGCGGGGAGGCGUUACCCGAAGAAGAAGCACCGGCUAACUCCGUGCCAGCAGCCGCGGUAAUAC